RNAcentral lists this ribosomal RNA (324 nucleotides) under uncultured eukaryote. RNAcentral's name for it is "partial 18S ribosomal RNA". It matches the Rfam family "Eukaryotic small subunit ribosomal RNA", at positions 1470 to 1796 of the family's 1831-position model. The record is from RNAcentral.
CCCUUAGAUGUUCUGGGCCGCACGCGCGCUACACUGAUGCAUUCAACGAGCACCCGCUGGGCCGAGAGGUCCGGCUAAUCUUUGAACGUGCAUCGUGCUGGGGAUAGAUGAUUGCAAUUAUUCAUCUUCAACGAGGAAUUCCUAGUAAACGCAAGUCAUCAGCUUGCAUUGAUUACGUCCCUGCCCUUUGUACACACCGCCCGUCGCACCUACCGAUUGAAUGGUCCGGUGAAAUUCUCGGACGCGGACUUGCGAUGUUAAUUCGGAGCUUGACUGUGAAAGUUAAUUAAACCUUACCAUUUAGUGGAAGGUGAAGUCGUAACA